UGGGGAAUUUUCCGCAAUGGGGGCAACCCUGACGGAGCAACGCCGCGUGGGGGAGGAAUGUCUGUGGGUUGUAAACCCCUUUUCUCUGGGAAGAAGGUCUGACGGUACCAGAGGAAUCAGCAUCGGCUAACUCCGUGCCAGCAGCCGCGGUAAGACGGAGGAUGCAAGCGUUAUCCGGAAUUAUUGGGCGUAAAGCGUCCGUAGGCGGUUUACCAAGUCAGUUGUUAAAGACUGCAGCUCAACUGUGGGCGAGCAACUGAAACUGAUGAACUAGAGUGCGGUAGGGGUAGAGGGAAUUCCCAGUGUAGCGGUGAAAUUCGUAGAUAUUAGGAAGAACACCAGUGGCGAAGGCGGCUCACUGGCCCGGAACUGACGCUCAGGUGCGAAAGCGUGGGGAGCAAACAGGAUUAGAUACCCCUGUAGUCC
Molecule: ribosomal RNA, 426 nt
Filed under: uncultured prokaryote
Description: bacterial SSU rRNA
Rfam family: Bacterial small subunit ribosomal RNA
Source: RNAcentral